GAUGAACGCUAGCUACAGGCUUAACACAUGCAAGUCGAGGGGAAACGACAUCGGAAGCUUGCUUUUGAUGGGCGUCGACCGGCGCACGGGUGAGUAACGCGUAUCCAACCUGCCCAUCACUUGGGAAUAACCUUGCGAAAGUAAGACUAAUACCCAAUGAUAUCCCACGAAGGCAUCGGAAUGGGAUUAAAGAUUUAUCGGUGAUGGAUGGGGAUGCGUCUGAUUAGCUUGUUGGCGGGGUAACGGCCCACCAAGGCAACGAUCAGUAGGGGUUCUGAGAGGAAGGUCCCCCACAUUGGAACUGCGGCACGGACCAAACCCCUACGGGAGGCAGCAGUGAGGAAUAUUGGUCAAUGGGCGAGAGCCUGAACCAGCCAAGUAGCGUGCAGGAAGACGGCCCUAGGGGUUGUAAACUGCUUUUAUAAGGGAAUAAAGUGGGUCACGUGUGACUUUUUGCAUGUACCUUAUGAAUAAGGACCGGCUAAUUCCGUG
This 492-nucleotide ribosomal RNA is filed under the name uncultured bacterium. Its description in RNAcentral is "partial 16S ribosomal RNA". It matches the Rfam family "Bacterial small subunit ribosomal RNA", at positions 28 to 507 of the family's 1533-position model. The record is from RNAcentral.